GCAGCUCAGUGGUAGAGCAUGUGCUUUGCAAGCAGAACGUCCCGGGUUCAAUCCCUGGCAUCUUCA
Podarcis lilfordi (Lilford's wall lizard) is the source of this 66-nucleotide non-coding RNA. The record is from the annotation of a GenBank genome assembly. Lineage: Eukaryota; Metazoa; Chordata; Lepidosauria; Squamata; Lacertidae.